This 151-nucleotide long non-coding RNA is filed under the name Ictidomys tridecemlineatus (thirteen-lined ground squirrel). RNAcentral describes it as "lncRNA (ENSSTOG00000031651.1)". Lineage: Eukaryota; Metazoa; Chordata; Mammalia; Rodentia; Sciuridae. The record is from RNAcentral.
ACUUGUGACAAGUUACAGCCCAGUCUGAUCCAUGGCUAUCUCAUUUCAGGUGGGUAAAGAUGAUCAAAUGACAAACUGGGAGAGCAUCUUGUAAAUUCUGAGGACUACGCAGAGGUACUUUGUUGCAGUGAUGCAAAGCUGUGAUAGGGGC